RNAcentral lists this ribosomal RNA (506 nucleotides) under Priestia flexa. RNAcentral's name for it is "bacterial SSU rRNA". It matches the Rfam family "Bacterial small subunit ribosomal RNA", at positions 1030 to 1533 of the family's 1533-position model. The record is from RNAcentral. Lineage: Bacteria; Bacillati; Bacillota; Bacilli; Caryophanales; Bacillaceae.
AGUGACAGGUGGUGCAUGGUUGUCGUCAGCUCGUGUCGUGAGAUGUUGGGUUAAGUCCCGCAACGAGCGCAACCCUUGAUCUUAGUUGCCAGCAUUUAGUUGGGCACUCUAAGGUGACUGCCGGUGACAAACCGGAGGAAGGUGGGGAUGACGUCAAAUCAUCAUGCCCCUUAUGACCUGGGCUACACACGUGCUACAAUGGAUGGUACAAAGGGCUGCAAGACCGCGAGGUCAAGCCAAUCCCAUAAAACCAUUCUCAGUUCGGAUUGUAGGCUGCAACUCGCCUACAUGAAGCUGGAAUCGCUAGUAAUCGCGGAUCAGCAUGCCGCGGUGAAUACGUUCCCGGGCCUUGUACACACCGCCCGUCACACCACGAGAGUUUGUAACACCCGAAGUCGGUGGGGUAACCUUUAUGGAGCCAGCCGCCUAAGGUGGGACAGAUGAUUGGGGUGAAGUCGUAACAAGGUAGCCGUAUCGGAAGGUGCGGCUGGAUCACCUCCUUUCUA